Molecule: long non-coding RNA, 3438 nt
Filed under: Gadus morhua (Atlantic cod)
Lineage: Eukaryota; Metazoa; Chordata; Actinopteri; Gadiformes; Gadidae
Description: lncRNA (ENSGMOG00000033460.1)
Source: RNAcentral
AUGUCGAUGAGAGUGUGUUCCCUGCAUUUUCAUUCUGCGCGAAAUCGAAAUUCGGAAAACCAAAACAUGGCAAAGAAGCGAACAGAAAACUUUGUCUGGACAGACGAGGAGGUUGAGCUAUUGCUGCAUACAACAGUUGAUUACAAAGCCACAAAGGCACAAGAGGGAGUGGACUGGGAGUCCUGUCAGACAAAAUAUGUGGAUAUAUGGACCGAAUUUCUGCGUCAGUAUCCUAUACCUGGAGGGACGGCAUAUCCCCAUGAGAAGGAGGCUAGAUGCAAAACCCAAAUCGGAUCCAAACUGAAAGGAGUCCGGGCAAAAUAUAGGCAGGCUGUCGAUACUCAACGGCGGAGUGGCCAUGGGAGAGUGAUCUCACUUUUUUUUGAUUUAUGCAAUGAAAUAUGGGGUGGGUCGCCAGCCACCAGCACAAUAGAGGCUGGUGUCGAAACAGCUGAAGUAAACAACACCGUGGAUAGUGCUAGCGAGUCUAGCAUUACAUCAUCUGAUCCGCCGGUAGAGUCAAUAGACAGCCCCGAGACCUCAGUCCAGUCCAGGAGAGAUCUACUUCAGGCAAGGCUCGAUGGCCAUAGAAGUGUUAGGCUCCAGAAGAGACUAAGGGUGGAUCCAGUGCAGACUGACCUCGACGUGAAAAAGAAGAUAGUAGACAUCAUUGAGCAGGCUGAAAGGAGCAACAGAGAGAGGCUGGACACCAUUGCAGAGGCUCAAAUAAGGAUAAGCCAUAGCUUUGACUUCCUUGUGAGACACAUCACCUCUCAGCCACCACCACCCAUGUCCCCCGCACAUUCAUACACACCACCACCACCACCCAUGUCCCCCGCACAUUCAUACACACCACCACCACCACCCAUGUCCCCCGCACAUUCAUACACACCACCACCACCACCCAUGGCCCCCGCACAUUCAUACACACCACCACCACCACCCAUGGCCCCCGCACAUUCAUACACACCACCACCACCCAUGGCCCCCGCACAUUCAUACACACCACCACCCAUGGCCCCCGCACAUUCAUACACACCACAACACAUGAGCCCUGCUCAUUCAUACACUGCUCUGCCCAUGGCCCCUGUACCUCCAUCCUCCUACAGACGACUACUAGAAGAGGAACACUCCGAUGAGGAAGACGUUUUGUCAUUGUCAUAGACCAAGUUUACAUUUUGUAAUAUUAUUAAUUUCGUUCAAAACCUGCCUACUGUUUAAGCACUUAAUCCUUUCUCAACCGCUGGGCAGAGGCCCAUGAUCAGUUCUGUUAGACAUGUUUGCCCUGGAGUGAAAAAACUUGAAUAUGACACUUCAUGAAUAUGGCACUUUAUUAUUCAUGGGAUCUUUUUUUUAUUGUUGUUGUCUAUUGCAAUAAAAAUCAAAAUAAAGAACAAGUUUGCAGCCUAGCAGAUGUUGAAACACACAUGAUAUUAAACACUGAUCAUGUGGACUAAACAAGUGGACUAAUAACUAAAGGAAAACAAGUGGCUUUUUAGUUAAAUCAAAAAAGUCCUUUUAACAAUGCUGUGCUGAAUACACAAUAGGUAUGCUGAUCUGCAUAAAUCACGGUGUCCUCAUGGAUCCAGUGCUCACCUUGCUGUAAAGAACAUACAGCCAGUAGCCACCUUGGUCAGUGUUCACACGGGCAGAGUCUGGUCCAUUGGCCAUUAAGGGUCAAGGUAUUUCGUGAGGAUUCUCCUCACUCUCUUUCCUCUCACCUCAUUACUGUCAGUCAGAUAUGUGUUUGCCUGGGUGGGAGGCUGCAGAUCCCUGUCACACUGUAUGGCUUCCUGCUCAACUUGGUGAUCCACAGGCCUCACAGUAGUUGUGGAGGACAAAGCAGGCAUAAAUAACAUUAGGCAGAUCGCGCAGGUUUAUGACCUUGGGACGCCUCAGGGCUGCAAACCUGGCCUUGAGCCGACCAAAUGAGCAUUCAAUAACCAUACGGGCCCUACACAAACUGAGUCCAAAGUAUUGUUCUGAUGGGGUAGAGCCUCCACCUGAGUACUCUUUCAUAAGGUAAGGGAGAAGGGGGUAAGCAGGUUUCCCCAAGAGAAAGAUAGGUAUUGGUUCCUCUUCCUCCACUAUCUGCCUUUCAAGUGAAGGUAUCUUCCCAGUCUUGAGGUACGUGUUCACUUUGGAAUUGGCGAAGACACGCGCAUCGUGGACACUUCCAGGCCAUUUUAUGACCACAUCCAUGAAUCUGUAAGGCAAGCAAACAGCAUAUUUUAACUCAAAGUGCUUUACCAUCUUUAAUGACAAUAGUGGAACAUACAUGGGAUAGCCUUUAGAAAGAGCACAAGAGAGCUCAAAGACUUUGAUUAAACCUACCUGUAUUUGUGGUCACACACAGCUUGGACGUUCAGGGAGAACCUGUGUUUCCUGUUAAUGUAAUCCAUGGCGUUGACGGCUGGCUGUUUAUGUCAAUAUGUGUCCCGUCUACCGCUCCCAAACAUUGGGGCAUUCCAUGAUCUCGCAGAAAUCCGGAUACGAGUUCCUCUGUCUCGGGCACAGUAAAAGGCAACUGGAUAUAUUUCGGACCGAGGUGGACCGUUAUGGCUUUGCAUGUUUGUCUUACGAUGACCGACACAGUCGGACGUGAUAAGCCAAAGGCGUUCGCUGUCUUCCUUAGACGUCCCUCAUCAUUUAAAUAAUAUAAAGUGCACGCUACCUUUUUCAGGACCCCCACAGGUGCUCUCAUGUUGGUUAUUAUGCCCUCUAUGUAUGGGCGAAGUUCCUCACUCAAGGCGACAAUCGAAUCUUUGGACAUGCGAAAGUUUUCACGCCAUGCUCUGUCGUCAACUUCGCCUUGAACAAAGUUGUCCCACCAUAGACUGGUUCUCCCGGGUCUAAUCCACACCUGUCUGGUUCGCCUCCGACGAAUUGGAGCAUCAAACAAUUGCCCUAUGCCUAGGUAAUUAAUGCGCCUUCCAUGUUCUGUUAUGUGUGUUACUACUCGGCUUAUUUGCUGAAAUGACUCCUGGAUAGUUAUAAAAGCAGAUAGAAUCUCCUACUGAUGGGAUAUAAUCCGACAUGUUAAUUUCCUGUAUGUGUGGCCAUUAAAAUAAUGUUGAUUCUGAUGUUUGUUGGUGUUUGGCUGUACUGCACAUGGGUAUGACGUCAACGCGUAGGCAAGGAUAGCCAGCGUGCGCAGCUCAGAGCACACUUAUGCGUUUUCAACCCUUUAGACGGGAACGUGACGGUGGAGCGUUUUUAAGAUUUCCACUCUGGAGGGUGGGUUCAUUUUUUGCGUUUUUAAGCCCCCAAAACGCUGUCGCCGUCUAAACGAAAGGCACAUCUGAUAAAAUAGUCGGUUUCACCCAGGAGCAUUGUCGUGUGAUCUCUCUCUCUCUCUCUCUCCCUCUCAUACCGUUUUGUGGAGCACAUUCAUUGUCUUAGAACACUCCCAUUCAGAAUGCAUUGGUUUACAUGGAC